AGAAAUUGAUAGCUGGGCAUGGUGGUACACACCCGUAAUCCCAGCUACCUGGGAGGCAGAAGUGGAAGGAUCACCUGAGCCCAAAAGGCUGAGGCUGCAGUGAGGCGGGAUUGGGCCACUAUACUCCAGCCUGGGCAAAAGAGUGAGACCCUGUAUCAGAAAAAAAAAAACAAAACAACAACAGCAAAGAAUUUAUAAUUUUAAAAUUACCAAAGAAAAAUCUCCGGGUCCAGAAUAUUUCACUGAAGAAUUCUACCAAACGUUCAGGGAACACUUAACACCAAUUCUACAUAAUCUAUUUCAGAAAGCAGAAGAGGAGGGAGCAUUUCCCAGUUCAUUUUAUGAAGCGAGGAUUGCACUGAUGCUAAAACCAGACAAAAACAGGGAAAAAAAAAAUUUAAAGAAAGCAGGAUAAAAAGAAAACUACAGACCAAUAUCCC
RNAcentral lists this long non-coding RNA (440 nucleotides) under Homo sapiens (human). RNAcentral describes it as "non-protein coding lnc-DHX38-14:1". The record is from RNAcentral. Lineage: Eukaryota; Metazoa; Chordata; Mammalia; Primates; Hominidae.